This is a non-coding RNA of Fukomys damarensis (Damara mole-rat), 922 nucleotides long. The record is from the annotation of a RefSeq genome assembly. Lineage: Eukaryota; Metazoa; Chordata; Mammalia; Rodentia; Bathyergidae.
GUGGGUAUGGAGUAAAGAAAACCUUCAGUAGAGGAACAAAACUUAUUGUCACAGACAAAACGUUUAACACGGACAUUUCCCCCAAGCCCAUUAUGUUUCUUCCUUCAAUUGCUGAAACAAAGCUCCAUAAGGCCGGAACAUACCUUUGUCUUUUGGAGAAGUUUUUCCCUGAAGAUAUUAAGGUAUCCUGGAAAGAGAAAGAUGGGGAUACGAUUCUGAAGUCCCUGCAGGGAGACACCGUGAAGACUAAUGACACCUACAUGAAGCUCAGCUGGCUAACAGUGACUGGAGAUUCAAUGGAUAAAGAGCACAGAUGUAUCGUCAAACAUGAGAAAAACAGAGGAGGAGCUGAUCAAGAGAUUCUCUUUCCUCCUGUAAAUGAAGCUGUCAAUUUUAUUAAUCCCAGAGAAGCUGAAUUGAAAGAUCAAAAUGUUGUCACCACUCUUAGUCCCAGAGAAGCUAGUCUGACAGAUGAAAAUGUUGUCAAUACUACUGAAUCAGGAACUUCCUCCAAAGAUGAUUUACUGGACCUGCAGUUCAGCAGCACCUCUGCCUACUACACCUAUCUCCUGCUGCUGAUCAAGAGUGCCCUCCAUGGGGCGCUGGUCACCUACUGUCUGUGCAGAAGGUCAGCUGUCUUCUGUGACGGGAAAAGCACCUGACAGAUGGAGACACGUGCACCCAUGUGCAAAGUCUGCAACUUCCCUCUGUUACAAAAAGGCUUGGCCAGCGGUAACCCGGAGCGCCAUCCUUCCAUGGUCCCCACAGCUCCUCCAGCCAGCCCAGGUCUUCACAGCCUCAGUAUGCACAGCUCACUGCUUCUGGUCAGGGUCUCUUCCAAUAGGCUGGGUCAACCCUGGAAAUCUCCAGUCAACCCACACUGACGGCUUCUUUGCUAUUUAACUGUACUUUGAUAUUUGUA